This 163-nucleotide small nuclear RNA is filed under the name Erinaceus europaeus (western European hedgehog). RNAcentral describes it as "U1 spliceosomal RNA (ENSEEUG00000016459.1)". It matches the Rfam family "U1 spliceosomal RNA". From Rfam's summary of the family: U1 is a small nuclear RNA (snRNA) component of the spliceosome (involved in pre-mRNA splicing). Its 5' end forms complementary base pairs with the 5' splice junction, thus defining the 5' donor site of an intron. There are significant differences in sequence and secondary structure between metazoan and yeast U1 snRNAs, the latter being much longer (568 nucleotides as compared to 164 nucleotides in human). Lineage: Eukaryota; Metazoa; Chordata; Mammalia; Eulipotyphla; Erinaceidae. The record is from RNAcentral.
AUACUUACCUGGCAGGGGAGAUACCAUGAUCACGAAGGUGGUUUUCCCAGGGCGAGGCUUAUCCAUUGCACUCCAGAUGUGCUGACCCCUGCGAUUUCCCAAAUGUGGGAAACUUGACUGCAUAAUUUGUGGUAGUAGGGGGCUGCGUUCGCGCUCUCCCCUG